Homo sapiens (human) is the source of this 385-nucleotide long non-coding RNA. NCBI's taxonomy places the organism in Eukaryota, Metazoa, Chordata, Mammalia, Primates, Hominidae. The record is from Ensembl.
AUCAGAUCCAACUCCUUUAGUUUCUCACGUUUUGGCCUUUAAGAUGCGGAGAUCACGGGAGGCCGCAUCAAAAGUAAGGAUUACACAUCAAAGGUAAAACUUUCAAAGAACUCGCCAAGUAUUUCAUAGCAGGCCACUUGGACCACUUUCAUCAUUUUCUGUAGAUCUUUAUAUUCUUGACACAACAACAUCCUAUUUUGGCCGAUGUUAAAAUCGAGGACUCCCAGAGCCUCUCCUGUUCUCUCACGAAGUGGAACUACUAUAUGCGUUUCUCCACAGGCAGAAGCCAGAACAACUUCUGAACUGUCAGUACAUUUAAAGAGGAAAUCUCUGAAAUCAAAACCAAAUAAGCACAAGGAUAUUAAACAUCUGUCUGUUCACAUCA